Calypte anna (Anna's hummingbird) is the source of this 602-nucleotide long non-coding RNA. RefSeq lists it as uncharacterized. The record is from RefSeq and is a predicted model, not a curated record. The transcript is spliced from 3 exons. NCBI's taxonomy places the organism in Eukaryota, Metazoa, Chordata, Aves, Apodiformes, Trochilidae.
CGGUGGAAGAUUAUUGGAGCCCUUACAUUUCAUAUUUAACUUUUUCUCAUGCCUGCCUGUUCAGCUGUCAUUUCCCUACCUCUCCUCCUGUCACCAGUGCCCAGGACAGCUGCGGCUCCACACUCAGCAGAACACAUCAGGAUCUUUGUGCAGGGGUGAGCCAUUGAAUGUGUCAUAAUACCACACCAACUUGUGCUUAAUGGACCUGACAUGGGAUUCUCCUUGGCUCCUCUGUCUGAUUUCUAGAUGACCUCAUGCAGGGACUGUGCUGUGCUGUUCAUGUGAGCAUUCCACUCCCUUCUGAGAACUCUGCUGCUUUCACCUGAUCGUAAAGACCCACCUUUAAGGUUAAAGCUAAGGGAGAAGUUACAUGAGCUCAUAAGAGGAAGCCCUACUGCUCUUCAGGGGCAAGCUCAGGUGAUGACUUUCUGUCUGAAGCUUUAACUUGCCAGAUGAUAUUGCAUAUCUGCCCAGACUUCUGCAUUGUGGAGGCCACAGAACUCACUGAGGGAUUCUUGUGAUUGUUCAGUCGUGUUAUGCUGACAGCAGUCACUAAGAAUGCACUAGGGCUUGGUUUCUAGAAUCAAAUUAUGUGAAAUCUG